GUCCCCAUAGCUCAGAUGGAUAGAGCGACGGACUUCGAAUCCGAAGGUCGCAGGUUCGAAUCCUGCUGGGGACGCCA
Molecule: transfer RNA, 77 nt
Filed under: Candidatus Omnitrophica bacterium 4484_213
Lineage: Bacteria; Pseudomonadati; Candidatus Omnitrophota
Also listed under: 1 other name
Description: tRNA-Arg
Rfam family: tRNA
About the family: Transfer RNA (tRNA) molecules are approximately 80 nucleotides in length. Their secondary structure includes four short double-helical elements and three loops (D, anti-codon, and T loops). Further hydrogen bonds mediate the characteristic L-shaped molecular structure. tRNAs have two regions of fundamental functional importance: the anti-codon, which is responsible for specific mRNA codon recognition, and the 3' end, to which the tRNAs corresponding amino acid is attached (by aminoacyl-tRNA synthetases). tRNAs cope with the degeneracy of the genetic code in two manners: having more than one tRNA (with a specific anti-codon) for a particular amino acid; and 'wobble' base-pairing, i.e. permitting non-standard base-pairing at the 3rd anti-codon position.
Source: RNAcentral